Monodelphis domestica (gray short-tailed opossum) is the source of this 1148-nucleotide non-coding RNA. The record is from RefSeq and is a predicted model, not a curated record. Lineage: Eukaryota; Metazoa; Chordata; Mammalia; Didelphimorphia; Didelphidae.
CAGUGGGUGGAGCAAAACCCACGGAGCCUUCCUCUCCCUGCCCUUUUCCUCCUCCUAUGGGGAGCUCUUGUGACUGAGGGCGAAGGGUGGAAGGCGCGGCUGGAGGAUUAGCUCUCCCUGGAGGGGAGAAAAGGGUGCCUUCUGGGCUCUGCUGGUCAAUGAUGCUUGCCCAAGUUUAGGAAGGAUAUCGGGCUCUUCUGAUGACCCGAUUUCGUACCUUCCCAGACUCAAAAGGCUGGACGAUACUUUGUCUACUUCUGGUUCUAGGUAAAAGAAUUAGAGGCUUUGGCAUUGCAACAUCCACAUCCAGUUUUUGCAGAGAGCCCAACAUUUGAUGCCUUCUAGAAUAAAGAAUUACCUUCAAAAGUGACCUUUGGAACUCAGCACAGUGGGAGAUGAGGCAAGACCUCUGGCAGUCACAAAACAUUUGGAUGUGAACUUGGUAAGACCCAUGCUAUGCAGAAACUAAGCUAAGCUUGAGCCCACACUACUCAGAAACCAAGGUCCUUGACCUCCCUAAGGAUGCAAUCCAGGCUCUGGUUCUAGAGAAAUGAAGUCUCUGACUCCUUCCUUGACUAUACCUGAAAUACUUGUUUUGGUUCCAUCAGACAUCAGUAUAGAAAGAUGCUGAAAGUUGGCCUAUGUAACAGCUUCCUCUUUUAAUUGUCUAAAUCUGUACCCUUCUAGCGUUUCAGUGAGAAAAAAGAAUUGUGAUUAAAAGCCAUUCUACCAUACUCCUAGUCUAUUCACUCAAUUGAUCACUGAAUACAGUAAGCCAUCUAAAGUGUUUGCUAAGAAAGGUAUUACCCUUUGAUGCUUUGCUCUUGCUUCACUCACAGUUUAGUCAAAAGAAUGUGCUAAAAAUAAUCCCUGGGUCUCAGUUUCCUUAUUCACAUAAUUGGGGUGCUUUAAAAGGCCCCUUCCAGCUCUGACAAUCCUGUGAUUUUUACCCUCUGGCACUGUAACCCAUGGGAUUGGGGAGAAAUUAAAUCAGGUAAAAUUCACAAGCCUGUACUUUAAUUCAAUUGUUUAUGCAAAGUAUCUUCUGCUUAAGGCUAAACGUUAAAUUUCCUCUGAUAAUCCAUCUACUAAACCUUCGUUCUGAAGCCUACCACCCUGGGACAGCUGAACUACUUUCAGAAAAAUGU